This 253-nucleotide ribosomal RNA is filed under the name uncultured bacterium. RNAcentral describes it as "partial 16S ribosomal RNA". It matches the Rfam family "Bacterial small subunit ribosomal RNA", at positions 524 to 776 of the family's 1533-position model. The record is from RNAcentral.
UACGAGGGGGGCAAAUGUUGUUCGGAAUCACUGGGCGUAAAGGGCGCGUAGGCGGUCUGUUAAGUUCGGUGUGAAAGCCCCCGGCUCACCUGGGGAACUGCGCCGGAAACCGACAGACUCGAGUACCGGAGAGGAGGGUGGAAUUCCUGGUGUAGCGGUGAAAUGCGUAGAUAUCAGGAGGAACACCGGUGGCGAAGGCGGCCCUCUGGACGGAUACUGACGCUGAGGCGCGAAAGCGUGGGGAUCAAACAGG